CCCCCCUCAGGUUCGCAUCUGGAGAGUUUCCAAUACUCUACCAGCCUUGGCUCUGGGAGGAAGAGUCAAGCAGUGACAUAACCAUUCCAUUCCUAGCUCGGACAGUGGCUAGCGAGUGGAAGACAAUCUGCUACAAGU
Molecule: small nucleolar RNA, 138 nt
Organism: Ornithorhynchus anatinus (platypus)
Lineage: Eukaryota; Metazoa; Chordata; Mammalia; Monotremata; Ornithorhynchidae
Source: RefSeq, a predicted model, not a curated record